RNAcentral lists this long non-coding RNA (764 nucleotides) under Mustela putorius furo (domestic ferret). RNAcentral's name for it is "lncRNA (ENSMPUG00000028212.1)". Lineage: Eukaryota; Metazoa; Chordata; Mammalia; Carnivora; Mustelidae. The record is from RNAcentral.
CAGCUGUCUGCAAGUCCUCCUGCAAAGCAGAGGCAAGCGAGCGGGCGGCCUGGCUGGGCUCAGGUGGGCAAACAGUCAUUUUGAAGGGAGACACACAUGGCCAGGGAUGUGGAUUCGCCCCCUCAGGAAGUGUCCAGGUUCCAUGCUGCUCUGUGAGGCAUAGUGAUGCAGAUUUCCUCUCGGCUUCCCGAUUUCAAAGCCAGAGCUGGUUGGAGACUUUUCAGAGCUUCACACCUGGGAACAGCUCCUUCCAGAAGGAAAGAUUUCCUUGGACUCUUCGGGGAGGUCAUUUUCUCCUUAGCAUCUAGCUCUGUGUGCCAUCCUCUUCUAUAAUAGACCACCAGCCUACUCAGAGGUCCACCCUUGAGGGAAACUGUAAAGUAGGUGAAGAUUUUUUUUCAUCACUUGACCCCAGUGCCCCUUCACCUUUUCUCACCAAGCCUCCAGCUGAUGCUCAGCCUUAAAGACUAGAAAAUGAGAAGAUCAUGCUGGCAGCUUACCUGUGCUGCACCUGCUAAAGAACAAGAACACAGACCACUGACGGUGGCCUCAUGCACUGGCCGCAGGGGUGGUGUCGUGGAGCUCCUCUCUGUUACAUCUCACCGAUAACCACCAGUUUGGCCUCAUCCAUGCCUGUGUAUUGCCAGAUCUGCAGUGUGUUUACUAACUAAGAAAUGCCACUUUGAGGAAUUUGGUUUGGGCGGAUCUUUUUCAGUGAGAGCGUCUAUGCAUCGCAUCGAUGAAGCUGGGGAUCUCAGUGUUUU